GACGAACGCUGGCGGCGUGCUUAACACAUGCAAGUCGAACGGAAAGGCCCUGCUUUUGUGGGGUGCUCGAGUGGCGAACGGGUGAGUAACACGUGAGUAACCUGCCCUUGACUUUGGGAUAACUUCAGGAAACUGGGGCUAAUACCGGAUAGGAGCUCCUGCUGCAUGGUGGGGGUUGGAAAGUUUCGGCGGUUGGGGAUGGACUCGCGGCUUAUCAGCUUGUUGGUGGGGGAGUGGCUUACCAAGGGUUUGACGGGUAGCCGGCCUGAGAGGGUGACCGGCCACAUGGGGACUGAGAUACGGCCCAGACUCCUACGGGAGGCAGCAGUGGGGAAUAUUGCACAAUGGGCGGAAGCCUGAUGCAGCAACGCCGCGUGCGGGAUGACGGCCUUCGGGUUGUAAACCGCUUUCGCCUGUGACGAAGCGUGAGUGACGGUAAUGGGUAAAGAAGCACCGGCUAACUACGUG
Molecule: ribosomal RNA, 468 nt
Filed under: uncultured bacterium
Lineage: Bacteria
Description: partial 16S ribosomal RNA
Rfam family: Bacterial small subunit ribosomal RNA
Source: RNAcentral